GAACGCGGCGGCGUCUAAUCAUGCAAGUGAGGACAGGAAGAAACUUGUUUCUUCCUUUGUUAGCGGCGGAUGGGUGAGUAACACGUGGGCAACCGCCCUGCAGUUGGGGAUAACUCCGGGAAACCGGGGCUAAUACCGAAUAAUCAGUUCCUUCGCAUGAAGGAACUCUGAAAGACGGCUAUGCUGUCACUGCAGGAUGGGCCCGCGGCGCAUUAGCUAGUUGGUGAGGUAACGGCUUACCAAGGCGACGAUGCGUAGCCGACCUGAGAGGGUGAUCGGCCACACUGGGACUGAGACACGGCCCAGACUCCUACGGGAGGCAGCAGUAGGGAAUCUUCCACAAUGGACGAAAGUCUGAUGGAGCAACGCCGCGUGAGCGAAGAAGGUUUUCGGAUCGUAAAGCUCUGUUGUGAGGGAAGAACAAGUACAGGAGUAACUGCCUGUACCUUGACGGUACCUCAUUAGAAAGCCACGGCUAACUACGUGCCAGCAGCCGCGGUAAUACGUAGGUGGCAAGCGUUGUCCGGAAUUAUUGGGCGUAAAGCGCGCGCAGGCGGCCUUUUAAGUCUGAUGUGAAAGCCCACGGCUUAACCGUGGAAGGUCAUUGGAAACUGGAAGGCUUGAGUACAGAAGAGGAAAGCGGAAUUCCACGUGUAGCGGUGAAAUGCGUAGAGAUGUGGAGGAACACCAGUGGCGAAGGCGGCUUUCUGGUCUGUAACUGACG
This 724-nucleotide ribosomal RNA is filed under the name Sporosarcina sp. RNAcentral's name for it is "bacterial SSU rRNA". It matches the Rfam family "Bacterial small subunit ribosomal RNA", at positions 31 to 745 of the family's 1533-position model. The record is from RNAcentral. Lineage: Bacteria; Bacillati; Bacillota; Bacilli; Caryophanales; Caryophanaceae.